This 465-nucleotide ribosomal RNA is filed under the name uncultured bacterium. Its description in RNAcentral is "partial 16S ribosomal RNA". It matches the Rfam family "Bacterial small subunit ribosomal RNA", at positions 338 to 795 of the family's 1533-position model. The record is from RNAcentral.
CCUACGGGAGGCAGCAGUAGGGAAUCUUCCACAAUGGGCGAAAGCCUGAUGGAGCAACGCCGCGUGGGUGAAGAAGGUCUUCGGAUCGUAAAACCCUGUUGUUAGAGAAGAAAGUGCGUGAGAGUAACUGUUCACGUUUCGACGGUAUCUAACCAGAAAGCCACGGCUAACUACGUGCCAGCAGCCGCGGUAAUACGUAGGUGGCAAGCGUUAUCCGGAUUUAUUGGGCGUAAGGGGAACGCAGGCGGUCUUUUAAGUCUGAUGUGAAAGCCUUCGGCUUAACCGGAGUAGUGCAUUGGAAACUGGGAGACUGGAGUGCAGAAGAGGAGAGUGGAACUCCAUGUGUAGCGGUGAAAUGCGUAGAUAUAUGGAAGAACACCAGUGGCGAAAGCGGCUCUCUGGUCUGUAACUGACGCUGAGGUUCGAAAGCGUGGGUAGCAAACAGGAUUAGAUACCCCUGUAGUC